Pseudoliparis swirei is the source of this 320-nucleotide long non-coding RNA. RefSeq lists it as uncharacterized. NCBI's taxonomy places the organism in Eukaryota, Metazoa, Chordata, Actinopteri, Perciformes, Liparidae. The transcript is spliced from 3 exons. The record is from RefSeq and is a predicted model, not a curated record.
GCAGUUCAUGCUAAGUGUAGACGGCAAGGUUGUGAAUGACCAAAUCCCAAACUUUGUUUCUGCCAUCUGUUUGAUGUUUGGAAGCUAUUACUGCUUCAAUAUCCACUAUCCUGUGGUUCUGGGCUCCACACUUGAGUUCCUUCAGAGGUGUUUCUUCCUGAUCAAUCCAGAGAAGGGCACAAAAGUUGAAACCAAGAAAAACAAGAAGCAACUUUCAGUGAACUUGAGUUCCUUCAGAGGUGUUUCUUCCUGAUCAAUCCAGAGAAGGGCACAAAAGUUGAAACCAAGAAAAAUAAGAAGCAACUUUCAGUGAACUUGAG